Molecule: non-coding RNA, 176 nt
Organism: Salmonella enterica subsp. enterica serovar Enteritidis
Lineage: Bacteria; Pseudomonadati; Pseudomonadota; Gammaproteobacteria; Enterobacterales; Enterobacteriaceae
Source: Rfam
GGGUGCUUGAGGCUAUCUGCCUCAGGCAUGAACACCAAAAGGCAGAUAGAGAAAAGCCCCAGUUAACAUUACGCGUCCGGCAAGACGCUUAACAUUAAUCUGAGGCCAAUUUCAUGCUUUGCACAUGUAGGUUAGCCUCUUACGUGCCGAAAGGCAAGGAGAAGCAGGCUAUGAAG